Long non-coding RNA from Parus major (Great Tit), 1743 nucleotides. NCBI's taxonomy places the organism in Eukaryota, Metazoa, Chordata, Aves, Passeriformes, Paridae. The record is from Ensembl.
CUUGCCAUUGACAGCACACCCCAAAGGGACAGCAAACACACAGGGAGGCCAGGUAUCAGAAGCCACCCAUAUCUAAGCUUCUGGUAGGGCAGCCCAGUUUAAACAGAGAGUAAAGUACCAGUCAGAUUCCUUCAACACAUUUAUACAAUUGUGUCAGCAUCAGAAACCAGCAAGCUGAGGUAAACUCUCCAUAAUCCAGCUUUUGUGCACAGCUUUUUUUAAAGCCCCCCCCCCCCCCCCAAUUCCCCAUUUAGGAUUUGCCAGAUAGUUUGAUUUGUAUUUUGUACUAAGUAGAAAAAAAAAAUAAAAAUAAAUCUCUACUUUGACACUAUUAUCCCACUCUUCCCAGGCUAUCAAAUUAUUAAUAUUUCCAUGCUUUUAGAGAGCUAACCUGGUGAGCAGACUUGGUCAGUGGAGGCUUCCUCUCCAGCUGGGAUCCUGCACAAAGAGGCUCUGGCAAAGAUGAAACUAAACUUACUCCCUCAGAUGUUCUUAUUGGUAGCCAGCAGCAAAAAACGUAAAAUGGGUGGGAGGUAACUUGAAGGGGGAAGUCAGGAACUGUGCCCUGUCCUUACAACCACAGACUUAACAAUGCAGAACAGUAAUUUAUUUUUCCUUUUCCCAGGACUAGUUAUUCUUUUUUAAAAAAUAUGUUUGCAUGUUUAUUGUGUUAUUCCUCUUACUUUUCCCACAUGUUGUUGCUGUUCAGGGGAGAGUAGCUCUGAAUGAUUUACUUUCAUCGAGACAGACAUUUAGGUUAUAAUUUCUUAGAAAAUACACCCCACAUGGAGACAUUCCAUAAAAAUUAGGCUGAUUCCCUAAGUGCUUGUCACAAGCCAUGUAGCCCAGCCACUGUAAAAUUAACAGAGCACUUACCAUACACACAUACAUUUCCCUUUAUGAGAUGCUAAUAUUUAAAGUUUCUGCACUAACCCCAAUUAUGUAACCUGUCAAGUCAUGACAGUUUUGGAUUCACGUCCACAUUUUGUGGAGAACCUGUGGCACCAGGAAAGCACUUUUUGUUUCCCAGCAGGAUACACAUAAUAUGCAGAGAUCUCAGAGAGGAUCUGGGUUGCUGCUUUCUCAGGAGCAAGUCAAGUUCAACACAUCCCAUGAUGAGGACAGCAGCAACCAGAGCUCCAAAGGAGGAAUUUACUGAACCUCUUAUCUGGGAUUGUGAGACUCAACAAAGCCAAGAAGAUUGAUCUAUUGGAAAGGGAGGGCAGUUGAAGCUAAACCAAGGAACAUCUAAAACUUAAGAGGAAUGUUUAAAUAAUACAUGAGCAUUUAUGAAUAUGCAAUAGCUUUGUAUUUUUAAGGGACGCUCUUGGCUAAAUGCUGAGGCACCCGGCCGUAUUUGUUCAUUUUGUUUUAUUUCUAUCUCCGAAUUGUCUUUCUAUUAAAGUUUUUAAAGUUUAUAUUAAAAAAAUGUGAACCCCGUUUUUCACAUAGUGGAAAAAAAAAAUAUUUCAAAAGAAGAAUGGGAGGCUAGAAAGACAUCAGAAGACCAUCUUGGACCACCUCCCCAGCAGAUCGUCAAAAACCACAACUGAAGAAAAGCAAGUAGAAAAUAACUGAAAAUUUGAGGAAGGGAAGUGCCUAGAAUGGUAUGAGAUUACUGCUUGAAAACUGAAUUUGUGCAUUGCUUGGGGUGGAGACCCCCGCGCACCCAGCGCUGUAAAAGUUGCUCACCCUUUUAUCAAACGAAUUAAUAAAUUGGCUAUAUUGCUUGAUGUAUUGGCA